GAAAAACACACAGUUAAAUAGAUAGUAAGUUGGUCUAACCUAGGUCGGUCGCAGACAUUUGCAAAUGUUGAAAGCUUUCAAACUAUGAUUUGGUUCGAAAUGGGCUAUUAGCUCAGGUGGUUAGGGCGCAACCCCUGAUAAGGGUGAGGUCCCUGGUUCGAGUCCAGGAUGGCCCACCUGAAGAGAGUUAAGAGUUUGAAGUUAUGAGUUAAGAGUCCAAAACUGAUAACUUAUCACUAAAAACUCAUAACUUUUUGUCUGGGGGUUUAGCUCAGUUGGUAGAGCGCCUGCUUUGCAAGCAGGAUGUCAGCGGUUCGAGUCCGCUAACCUCCACCUAGAGAUAACUCAGGAAUAAAAAUAAGUGAGAAGAAGUCCAGCAACAUGGUGUGAAGCCAGACUGCUGGGUGAGAACUCAGCCAGAACCUUGAAAACUGCAUAGGAAUGGGAAGCAGGCAGACACAGA
Molecule: transfer RNA, 463 nt
Filed under: Dolichospermum spiroides RPAN58
Lineage: Bacteria; Bacillati; Cyanobacteriota; Cyanophyceae; Nostocales; Aphanizomenonaceae
Description: partial 16S-23S ribosomal RNA intergenic spacer
Rfam family: tRNA (bases 261-333)
Source: RNAcentral